RNAcentral lists this ribosomal RNA (253 nucleotides) under uncultured bacterium. RNAcentral describes it as "partial 16S ribosomal RNA". It matches the Rfam family "Bacterial small subunit ribosomal RNA", at positions 524 to 776 of the family's 1533-position model. The record is from RNAcentral.
UACGUAGGCAGCAAGCGUUGUUCGGAAUUACUGGGCGUAAAGAGUGUGUAGGCGGUGUUCUAAGUCUGUUGUGAAAUCUCCCGGCUUAACUGGGAGGGUGCGGCGGAAACUGGAAUGCUAGAGGAUGGGAGUGGUAAGCGGAAUUCCUGGUGUAGCGGUGAAAUGCGUAGAUAUCAGGAGGAACACCUGUGGUGUAGACAGCUUACUGGACCAUUUCUGACGCUGAGACACGAAAGCGUGGGUAGCAAACAGG